AGUGAACGCUGGCGGUAGGCCUAACACAUGCAAGUCGGACGGCAGCACAGAGGAGCUUGCUCCUUGGGUGGCGAGUGGCGGACGGGUGAGGAAUACAUCGGAAUCUACUCUGUCGUGGGGGAUAACGUAGGGAAACUUACGCUGAUACCGCAUACGACCUACGGGUGAAAGCAGGGGAUCUUCGGACCUUGCGCGAUUGAAUGAGCCGAUGUCGGAUUAGCUAGUUGGCGGGGUAAAGGCCCACCAAGGCGACGAUCCGUAGCUGGUCUGAGAGGAUGAUCAGCCACACUGGAACUGAGACACGGUCCAGACUCCUACGGGAGGCAGCAGUGGGGAAUAUUGGACAAUGGGCGCAGGCCUGAUCCAGCCAUACCGCGUGGGUGAAGAAGGCCUUCGGGUUGUAAAGCCCUUUUGUUGGGAAAGAAAUCCAUCUGGUUAAUACCCGGGUGGGAUGACGGUACCCAAAGAAUAAGCACCGGCUAACUUCGUGCCAGCAGCCGCCGUAA
This 506-nucleotide ribosomal RNA is filed under the name uncultured bacterium. Its description in RNAcentral is "partial 16S ribosomal RNA". It matches the Rfam family "Bacterial small subunit ribosomal RNA", at positions 29 to 523 of the family's 1533-position model. The record is from RNAcentral.